UACGGAGGGGGCUAGCGUUGUUCGGAAUUACUGGGCGUAAAGCGCACGUAGGCGGCUUUGUAAGUUAGAGGUGAAAGCCUGGUGCUCAACACCAGAACUGCCUUUAAGACUGCAUCGCUUGAAUCAUGGAGAGGCGGGUGGAAUUCCGAGUGUAGAGGUGAAAUUCGUAGAUAUUCGCAAGAACACCAGUGGCGAAGGCGGCUCACUGGCCCGAUACUGACGCUGAGGCACGAAAGCGUGGGGAGCAAACAGG
Molecule: ribosomal RNA, 253 nt
Filed under: uncultured bacterium
Lineage: Bacteria
Description: partial 16S ribosomal RNA
Rfam family: Bacterial small subunit ribosomal RNA
Source: RNAcentral